Phascolarctos cinereus (koala) is the source of this 2702-nucleotide long non-coding RNA. RefSeq lists it as uncharacterized. NCBI's taxonomy places the organism in Eukaryota, Metazoa, Chordata, Mammalia, Diprotodontia, Phascolarctidae. The record is from RefSeq and is a predicted model, not a curated record.
AGAGAAUCAUUGCUUUAGAGCUAGGAGGAAACAAAGAAAGAAACUUUAUUAAUUUCCUAUGUGCCAGGCACUGUCAUAGGUGCUCUACAGCAACUCAGUGAAUCUUGAUGUGAACCCAAGCCUACAGAAAUCUAUGCCCGCCAUCCUUUGUGCCUCAAAGAAUCUGAUUCCCUUUGCCUGAGACCCAAACAAGGACCCAGGGUUUCAGGAUGACUCGAGCUGCUUCUUUCUCUGGGCUCUGGGUGAAUCCAAGGCCAGCGUUCUAUUGCCUCAUCUCAUGUACAGGAACAGAUGAAUGGCCCUACACAAUGCCUGCCCUUAUUCAGGCCACCGCUCUCUCAGCGCUCGCUCAUGCAAUCCCCUGAGCUCAUUCCGGCCUCCUUUGUGAGCCGCUGUAUUGUCAGCGGCUACCAAGAAUAUGACAUCGACAUAGGAAGUCGGAACAGAUGAAGAGGGCAAGCCCAGGAGCCAGCGACACAGGCCGGCGGCCCCUUGUCUUGUUCCUGCACACAGCGGCCACUCAGGGAGUGCGGGCUGACUCAGAGUGAGUAAUGGAGUCAACACUGAGCGUCAUGCAGCAAACAGCUGGGCCCCACUCCACAGACACCCGCGCACCUUGACAGAGUCUCUGGGCUGAGGCAUGAAGCAAAGAGCAGAUUUGGGCUCUCCAUGCACCCCUGUCUUUCAGAGGACCAGAGAUCUAGGGUUAACAGGGACCUGGAAGACUGUCUAGUCCAAUGCCCUUAUUCUAUAAAUGGGGAACCUGAGGCCCAGGCAGGGUAAGGCACCUGUCUACAAGUCACCCAGUUGGUCUUAGGGGAAGGAUUGGAACCCAACUCCUCUGACUCCAGAGGACUCCUCCCCACCACCCCUCUGUAGAAUAUAAACUUCCUGAAGGGCAUUGUACUAGGUGACCUCUAAGAAGCCUUGAUAGGGAAGAGGGAGCGGAGCCAAGAUGGUGCCAACAGCGAUCUAAGGCCCAUGUUUCAGUAUGUUUCAGAGCACUGGAGUGAAAACUAAGUGAAGACCCACUACCAACAUAUACACACAGAUCUCAGGCUGCAAGGCUACUGCUGAGGUUCAUUUCAAGCCAUAGUCUUCCAGAAGAGGGCUCCCAAGAAUGAUGUUACCCUCAGCAUUCCUCGGGGGUGCCAUGGACCCUGGCCACUUCCAGAGUGAAUUGUUUCUAUGCCCUCGAAUAAUAAUAAUGUACAUUGAGGUUCAGUAAAUUAGCAUGAAUAUUAUCCACCCUGGGGAUGAGCUUCCACUUCGAAGACCAUGGAAAAAAAUUUGGUCCGGAUAUGAAGGCUCAGGACUCGGUUUUCUCAUCAGGAAAAUGAGGGAAUUCUGCCCAGGGACCCAUCAGGUCACUCCCAGCUCUGACAUUCUAUGAUCUAGAAUAGCUUCCCACUGGAUCGCUGUGUUCUUCAAGGGCCUGCCCAGCUCAAACAUUUGGCGAUUCUGUCAUGAUGAGAGAAUAAGCAAGUGAAGAGAACAGUUACUGUAAAGAGCCCAAUAUUUACAACUCCAGCCUGCUGAAGAACUUUUGGACUGCUCUCAAGGAAUCAAUGCUUCCUGAUUGCCUGAUCUUGGAUUCCUUUGCCAGCCUGGCUUGUUAUUCCCUGUUCCACUCCAAAAUGGCAGCCUCGACUAGAUGGAAGAGCAAUGGAUGUGUCAUCAGAGGAUCUGGGUUCAAGCGCUGACUUUUUUGCUUGCUUCCCAUAAGCAAGUUAACAGCUUCCUUGCUUCCUUGGCAACUUGCUUGAGGAAUUUAUUUUUAAAAAUGGGGAAGGGAGCAUGUUGACUGCGAUGAUGAAAGUUGUGAUCCCAAGAAAAACUAAACCAUAGACCCAGAGGACCUAGACCAUCACACAGGACAAUGACUGAUGAGUUUAAUUAUACUCUGAACCUGGGUCAUAAAGAAAAGAGGCUUGUUAUGGGAUCAUACUGAGAGUCUGCCCAGUGACAGCAUGUAUUUGUGUGUGUGUGUGUGUGUGUGUGUGUGUGUGCAUGCACCACACACAUGUGUGUGAGAGAAAGAACUGGUAUAAAAGAUGCCCUCACAUGAACAAACAAUGCUCAAGGACUAGACAAGGAUAAAGCACUUCUAUUCUAGCAGGGAGAGAUGAUGCGCAGGUCUCUGUGAGGGCACCCAGCAUCUGAAAUUGGAGAGAGUCUUGGAAGUGGCUUUGCUAUAUCUUGAUGAUCUCAAGUGAAGCAUGGAAGGGGAAGAGAAGAGGAACACACAGGAUAGGAUGGCAGAGAAAAAGGAAGGGUCGGGAAAAUCAACUCAUGUAAUCAGGAUGUACAAGGAUACAUCUAUACAAAGAAGUGCUAGAGGGAGCGGUGGUCACUCAAAGCUCACUCUUACCUGAACUGGUCAAAGGAGGGAAGAACACACACACACACACACACACACACACACACACACACACACAGAGCACAGAGUUGGGCACAAAAAUACAUUUCAUUCAACAGGAAAAUAGGAAGAAAAGGUGAGAAGGGAGAAAGAGGAAUCAGAGGAAGGUAAGGAUUAUUCUUAAGCAAAAUAAACUCAAAGCAAAGAUGUAUGAAAAUAUUUAUGAUCUUUUUGAGGCAACAAAGAAUGAGAAUCUAAGGUGGGGGGCACUGUCAAUUGGAUAAUGGUUGAACAAGUUAUGUUAUGUAAAUGUGAUGGAAUAUUAUUGUGCUGUAAGAAAUGA